This is a long non-coding RNA of Apis mellifera (honey bee), 2921 nucleotides long. RefSeq lists it as uncharacterized. The record is from RefSeq and is a predicted model, not a curated record. Lineage: Eukaryota; Metazoa; Arthropoda; Insecta; Hymenoptera; Apidae. The transcript has 2 exons.
AGAGAAGAGAGAAUCGGUUCCUCUCUUUCUGCCGGUCACGCCGCCGGCCUUCCGUCUCCUUCCUUUCCCUCCGAAGCCUUCUCGUGACCCGACGACGUCCCCACGCCGUGGUCCCAGGGUGGAGACACCCUCCCUCCCCUCCUCCGUCUCCCCUCCUCCUCCUCCUCCUCCUCUCUGUCCAGAAGAGGAGAGGAGAGGAGAGUGCCGUGAGAGAUCCGUGGCCUCGGCCGGCCUCUCUCUCUAUCCUCUCUCAUUAAUAUCCAGGAGACACCGCGGGCCGGACCCCGACGGAGGAGGAGGGUUAACUCUGAUUGGCUCCGAGGCGACAUCUCGACGGCUACGCGGAACAGACCGGCGUACACUUUCGAAGAAUCGGGCGGCGGAAUUGGACGGACGUUUUCCAAAGGGGAGAGAGAGAGAGAGAGACUCUUCUCGUCCUCCUCCUCCUCCAGGAGGAGAGAGGAGAGACAGGAGAGAUCGCGAGGAGGUGGACGACGCGGUGGCCGGGGGCGGGAUUAUUGAUUUUUUGGGUGGACAGGUGGAAUGGCUCGGUUUUUCGGAAUAUCGGGUGGGGGUUGGACAAAGGAUGUUUAAAAAUGAAUUUCGAAGCUCAAUAAGAAGAUCGUAUAACACUGAGCAAAAGGAGAGAAAGAGAAUCUGGGAAGCAACGUUCGAUGAAAUUUGGUGGAUGGAUGGCGCGUUCUCCAAGCUUCCGGAUCCACGGCGAAAAGGAGAAACGAAGCAAAGACUGGUUGGACUUAGCUUCGAGCUAAAUGGCAUAUGGCAGGGAUAAGGAGAAGGCCGUCUGCCUUCGGAUUACGGCAAUUAUCGAAUCACGAUCCGACUGAGAAAAAAAUUCAGUUCCCAACCUGUCUCAAGAAUAAUUUGAAAAAGACGCGUAGAAGAUGUUUGCGGUUUCUUCGAAGUCGAUAUCGAAGAGAAUAUUCGAAUAUUCGUUUUGAAAUAUUGUGGGAAAGUAAAUGGAGAAUUUUACGCGAAUCGGAUAUAUAUUUAUUCUAUACGAAAAAAUUAUUCGUAGUAUUAAUUGUAAUUUUUACAAUUUUUAAUUUCAGUAAGAUCGAAACGAACAUCGUUUUCCAAUUUCAUCGUCGUUUCACGGAGGUAUAACAAUUUCACGAAAAAUUGUUACGAUUUUUUUUAAGGCCACGUACGAUCAAAACUAAUAUCGAGUUUCUAAAAAAAAAAGUACGAAUAAAAAAAAAUUCUUUUUUCCGGGUAUCUAUGUUUUUUUCAAAAUUUAAACGCAACAGGAACGAAUUGUCACGAAUUAGUAUUAUAUUCAAUUUCGAACGUCGAGUUUUUUUUUUAUUAUUUAUUAUUUCAUCGAUUGAAACGUAAAUUUAAUCGUUUCCACGAGAUUUUUAUUCUUUUAAAUAUAACGGAUAAAUAUUUUUGACGAUCCAUCUUUUUUAUUAUAAAAAUUUUUAAUUCGUCUUGGAAUCGAAGGGAAACGAUUUCAUCAUCGUUCGUCGAUAACCACGGCUCGUUUCGUUUCCGUUCCAAUAAGACACGUGCUUCCGGUCGACCGCCAAUAAUAGGAUGCUGUGCACAAACUUUUCACUACGGCUAUUUUAUUUAAACUCCGGUGCACGCUUCGACGGAAUGCAAUUCCACGUUCCGCAAACCCGGCUCUCGAUGCAUUAACCCGAGUAAUUCAAACGUUACUGCUCGCUACGAAAGUUUUUAGCGGUGGAAUCCUCUGGAUAAUUCACAUUACUGGAACGGAUUAUUCCCAUCUACCCUUUUCGCUAUGAGAACGUAACCUGUGAGAAUGAUAGUGGUUUUGGGGGGGAAAAAAAAAAAGAAAAAGAAAAAAACGAAGGAAUCUUGCGAAUAAAAUCGAUUUUCCCGUCGUUUCGCGAAUAAAGGAAUCGAAAUGGAAAUUGGUUGUUUUGAGGUUAAGUAAUUGCACAGGAAAGGUAAAUACGUAUCGAUAAAGGAAUAUUUAACCAAGAGAUUCAUCUCUCGUUUGAUUUGCGUAUUAUCUGUUAUUAUAAAAAUAUAUAUAAUUAUAAUAAAUUUGCUUGUUUUUUUCUCCUUUCAUUCUUUUUUUCCUUUUUUUUUUUUUAUAAAAUAUAAAUGCUGCAUACAAAUCUUGGUUUGGAUCAUGCGAAAAGAAACAUAUAUCGUACAUAAAAUUUAUAUUGCAAUUUCGAUGAUGUUUUUGAUAUUGGUCGAAUGUUGUUAGUAUCGUAAAGCUUUAUCUAAAAAUAAUAUCUUUAAAAAAUAUAUCGAUCAUGCAAGUAUAUAUAUAUAUCUUUUUCUUUUUCUCGUAUUGGAACUAAUAUCGAUCUAUACUUAAAAACGAAUGGCAAAAAAAUUAAUUUAUUUCUAAAUACAGAUUAAACUCUUAUUCAAUAUCAUAUUUCGCGAUAUAAAAGUGUCGAUUUAUUUGUAUAAAUUAUCAGUAAAAAUUAUCGAUAUUAAAAAAUAUAUUCCAUUGUCGUUGCAACAUUUUUGAGCAAUGUAAAAAUUGGAAAUGUGGCACAAUAGUCAGUAACAUGAAUUACAUACGUUUCUUAAGUUUAAUCUAUCUCUAUAGAAGAUAUUAUAGAAAAUAUAGAUUUCAAAAAAGCAAUUUAUCUACCCGCAAUCUGAAUUGUAAGGAUUCUAUUUAAUUUGCAAUAUAUAUAUAUAUAAUAUCAAAAGCGUUCAUGAUAAUUAUAUCUAUAGCCAUUAAUAAAAUAUAAUAGUAUAUUGCGUAAAUAAAAAUUAUCCUGUUUCAUAUAACACGAUAUAAAAUUGUUCUUAAACAAUAACAAUUAAUAACUUGAAAACUUGUUCUUCCCUUCUAACAAUAUUCAACGUUAGAUUAGAGAUUAAACAUUGUUUCUUAACAGCUAGAAUAUUUAUAAUACUCUUAAUAAUAACGAUGUAACAAUUGUAUCGUGUAUAUGUAA